RNAcentral lists this ribosomal RNA (451 nucleotides) under uncultured bacterium. Its description in RNAcentral is "partial 16S ribosomal RNA". It matches the Rfam family "Bacterial small subunit ribosomal RNA", at positions 29 to 523 of the family's 1533-position model. The record is from RNAcentral.
AACGAACGCUGGCGGCAGGCUUAACACAUGCAAGUCGAACGGGUGUAGCAAUACAUCAGUGGCAGACGGGUGAGUAACACGUGGGAACCUUCCUCGGGGUACGGAACAACUCAGGGAAACUUGAGCUAAUACCGUAUACGUCCGUGAGGAGAAAGAUUUAUCGCCCUGAGACGGGCCCGCGUCGGAUUAGCUAGUUGGUGGGGUAACGGCCUACCAAGGCGACGAUCCGUAGCUGAUCUUAGAGGAUGAUCAGCCACACUGGGACUGAGACACGGCCCAGACUCCUACGGGAGGCAGCAGUGGGGAAUCUUGGACAAUGGGCGCAAGCCUGAUCCAGCCAUGCCGCGUGAGUGAAGAAGGUCUUCGGAUUGUAAAGCUCUUUUGCCAGGGACGAUAAUGACGGUACCUGGAGAAUAAGCCCCGGCAAACUUCGUGCCAGCAGCCGCGGUAA